RNAcentral lists this ribosomal RNA (499 nucleotides) under uncultured bacterium. RNAcentral describes it as "partial 16S ribosomal RNA". It matches the Rfam family "Bacterial small subunit ribosomal RNA", at positions 29 to 523 of the family's 1533-position model. The record is from RNAcentral.
AUUGAACGCUGGCGGCGUGCUUAACACAUGCAAGUCGAGCGGCAGCGCGGGAGCAAUCCUGGCGGCGAGCGGCGAACGGGUGAGUAAUGCUUCGGAAUCUACCCAGUAGUGGGGAAUAACCAGUCGAAAGACUGGCUAAUACCGCAUACGACCUAUGGGUGAAAGCAGGGGACCGCAAGGCCCUGCGCUAUUGGAUGACACGAAGGCGGAUUAGCUAGUUGAUGAGGUAACGGCUCACCAAGGCGACGAUCCGGAGCUGGUUUGAGAGGACGACCAGCCACACUGGGACUGAGACACGGCCCAGACUCCUCCGGGAGGCAGCAGUGGGGAAUAUUGGACAAUGGGGGAAACCCUGAUCCAGCGACGCCGCGUGUGUGAAGAAGGCCUGCGGGUUGUAAAGCACUUUUAGUGGGGAGGAAAACCCCCGACCUAAUACGUCGGGAAUUGACUUAACCCAAAGAAAAAGCACCGGCUAACUCUGUGCCAGCCGCCGCAGUAA